UGGUUCGAAAUUGAAAGGCGGCUUCGGCUGUCACUUAUGGAUGGACCCGCGUCGCAUUAGCUAGUUGGUGAGGUAACGGCUCACCAAGGCAACGAUGCGUAGCCGACCUGAGAGGGUGAUCGGCCACACUGGGACUGAGACACGGCCCAGACUCCUACGGGAGGCAGCAGUAGGGAAUCUUCCGCAAUGGACGAAAGUCUGACGGAGCAACGCCGCGUGAGUGAUGAAGGCUUUCGGGUCGUAAAACUUCUGUUGUU
This 257-nucleotide ribosomal RNA is filed under the name Bacillus cereus. RNAcentral describes it as "partial 16S rRNA". It matches the Rfam family "Bacterial small subunit ribosomal RNA", at positions 190 to 441 of the family's 1533-position model. Lineage: Bacteria; Bacillati; Bacillota; Bacilli; Caryophanales; Bacillaceae. The record is from RNAcentral.